UGGGGAAUAUUGCACAAUGGGGGAAACCCUGAUGCAGCAACGCCGCGUGAGUGAUGACGGCCUUCGGGUUGUAAAGCUCUGUCUUCAGGGACGAUAAUGACGGUACCUGAGGAGGAAGCCACGGCUAACUACGUGCCAGCAGCCGCGGUAAUACGUAGGUGGCAAGCGUUGUCCGGAUUUACUGGGCGUAAAGGGAGCGUAGGCGGACUUUUAAGUGAGAUGUGAAAUACCCGGGCUCAACCUGGGUGCUGCAUUUCAAACUGGAAGUCUAGAGUGCAGGAGAGGAUAGUGGAAUUCCUAGUGUAGCGGUGAAAUGCGUAGAGAUUAGGAAGAACACCAGUGGCGAAGGCGACUCUCUGGACUGUAACUGACGCUGAGGCUCGAAAGCGUGGGGAGCAAACA
This 402-nucleotide ribosomal RNA is filed under the name uncultured bacterium. Its description in RNAcentral is "bacterial SSU rRNA". It matches the Rfam family "Bacterial small subunit ribosomal RNA", at positions 355 to 774 of the family's 1533-position model. The record is from RNAcentral.